UCCUCUGGUUAUCUACUAUUCUCAGGGU
Molecule: non-coding RNA, 28 nt
Filed under: Rattus norvegicus (Norway rat)
Lineage: Eukaryota; Metazoa; Chordata; Mammalia; Rodentia; Muridae
Source: RNAcentral